GACGUAGGGGGCGAGCGUUGUCCGGAAUUACUGGGCGUAAAGAGCACGUAGGCGGGAAUUUAAGUCAGAUGUGAAAGACCGGGGCUCAACUCCGGGGUUGCAUUUGAAACUAAAUUUCUUGAGGGCAGGAGAGGGCAGUAGAAUUCCUGGUGUAGCGGUGAAAUGCGUAGAAAUCAGGAGGAAUACCAGUGGCGAAGGCGACUGCCUGGACUGACCCUGACGCUGAGGUGCGAAAGCGUGGGUAGCAAAC
Molecule: ribosomal RNA, 250 nt
Filed under: uncultured bacterium
Lineage: Bacteria
Description: partial 16S ribosomal RNA
Rfam family: Bacterial small subunit ribosomal RNA
Source: RNAcentral